UAUAUAUACCCUUCUUUUUCCCAAUCUUUUCCAAUUUAAUGAACCCUGGAUAUCGUAGAUAGGAACCCUAGCCCUAAAUCUACUAACAACAGCCAAGACAAAGACCAUCGGCAAACUCAAUGGCAAAUAGAAACCCAUCUGUCACCGCAUCGGUGAUAACAUCAACUAGACGGGACACUCCUUCUACACUCAAGAGGAUAACCUCGAUAAACAUCAUUGGCAAGUUAAAUCUCUACGUUUAUUAGCCACUGCUGAUGACCUUUCAUCAGAAAAUAACUGUUGCGAAUAACAUCUGUAUCCAUCACUGGAGAAAUCUAGAACGAAGAAGCCCUAACCCUUCUUCAUAGAUGAACUCCACUGUCGAGAGGCCCUAAUUGACCUACCAUCACCAAGAUUUUGGGAACUUCUUCAAAUAAUCAACACAGGGUCUAUUUGGUGAAUUUGAAAAAGUCAAGUGGCGUGGAACAUGGGUUGUUAAAACAGUAAUUAGAAGACAAAUUUAUGAUGAUCGUGUUACAAUGUUUGUUAGAUUAUACUUUCUCUUUCCUGUUUUCUCAGUUUGAUGAAUUUGUUUGAGUUAAUGUUAAAGAAAAUACUCUCUUAAGGGAGCUUCGACAUCCCAAUAUUUUGCAGUUCCUUGGUUCAAUUGUGCAUGGGGAAGAGAUGAUCCUGAUUACAGAGCAUUUGUCAAAAGUUGCAAAUGAAAUCAAUAUGAUCUUCAAGGUGUCAAAAGAAGAGAAAUUGUCAUGUUGAAGAAAGUGAUUCCAAAAAUCAUGAAGAUUACGUUAAUGAACUCAUUAGGAGGUUGAACUAGGUUUUUGCAUAUUAUGGUUUAUUUUAAUGGUUUUUUUCCUUAGCUUUUGUUCUUAUAUUAAAAGAAUUGUAAAUUAUAGUCCAAUAAUUUGUAUGUAAUCAUUAUAUAAGUAGUUAUAUUAAUUGCUUAGAUUAGGUAA
Long non-coding RNA from Vitis vinifera (wine grape), 953 nucleotides. RefSeq lists it as uncharacterized. The record is from RefSeq and is a predicted model, not a curated record. The transcript has 3 exons. Lineage: Eukaryota; Viridiplantae; Streptophyta; Magnoliopsida; Vitales; Vitaceae.